This 57-nucleotide transfer RNA is filed under the name Mesocricetus auratus (golden hamster). It matches the Rfam family "tRNA", at positions 9 to 63 of the family's 71-position model. Rfam says of the family: Transfer RNA (tRNA) molecules are approximately 80 nucleotides in length. Lineage: Eukaryota; Metazoa; Chordata; Mammalia; Rodentia; Cricetidae. The record is from Rfam by way of RNAcentral.
AGCUCAGUUGGUAGAAUACUUGCCUAGCACGCAAGAGGCCCUGGGUUCAAUCCCCAG